UUCCGGUUGAUCCCGCCGGAGGCCACUGCUAUGGGGGUCCGACUAAGCCAUGCGAGUCAUGGGGCGCCUUGCGCGCACCGGCGGACGGCUCAGUAACACGUCGGUAACCUACCCUCGGGAGGGGGAUAACCCCGGGAAACUGGGGCUAAUCCCCCAUAGGCCUGAGGUACUGGAAGGUCCUCAGGCCGAAAGGGGCUCUGCCCGCCCGAGGAUGGGCCGGCGGCCGAUUAGGUAGUUGGUGGGGUAACGGCCCACCAAGCCGAUGAUCGGUACGGGCCAUGAGAGUGGGAGCCCGGAGAUGGACACUGAGACACGGGUCCAGGCCCUACGGGGCGCAGCAGGCGCGAAACCUCCGCAAUGCGGGCAACCGCGACGGGGGGACCCCCAGUGCCGUGGCAUCGCCACGGCUUUUCCGGAGUGUAAAAAGCUCCGGGAAUAAGGGCUGGGCAAGGCCGGUGGCAGCCGCCGCAGUAAUACCGGCGGCCCGAGUGGUGGCCGCUAUUAUUGGGCCUAAAGCGUCCGUAGCCGGGCCCGUAAGUCCCUGGCGAAAUCCCACGGCUCAACCGUGGGGCUUGCUGGGGAUACUGCGGGCCUUGGGACCGGGAGAGGCCGGGGGUACCCCUGGGGUAGGGGUGAAAUCCUAUAAUCCCAGGGGGACCGCCAGUGGCGAAGGCGCCCGGCUGGAACGGGUCCGACGGUGAGGGACGAAGGCCAGGGGAGCGAACCGGAUUAGAUACCCGGGUAGUCCUGGCUGUAAAGGAUGCGGGCUAGGUGUCGGGCGAGCUUCGAGCUCGCCCGGUGCCGAAGGGAAGCCGUUAAGCCCGCCGCCUGGGGAGUACGGCCGCAAGGCUGAAACUUAAAGGAAUUGGCGGGGGAGCACUACAAGGGGUGGAGCGUGCGGUUUAAUUGGAAUCAACGCCGGA
Molecule: ribosomal RNA, 923 nt
Filed under: uncultured archaeon
Lineage: Archaea
Description: bacterial SSU rRNA
Rfam family: Archaeal small subunit ribosomal RNA
Source: RNAcentral